CUGGGCCUCAGUUUCUCCAGCCAUAUCCUGAGGGAAGUCUAUUAAUUCUCUUAGCUUGAGUUUCCCAGAAGUUGGUCCCAAGGUCGUGAUAAGAAUUAUCAGAGAUAAAGAAAGGUUGCUGAACACACAUAGUAUGCUGACAACUGGCCACAUGUCAUCUUCCCAGCAUUGCAAAGAAGGGGCCAUUUUUCUUGCAGGUAAGAAGCCCAAGGUCAGAAAAGGAGCCCCUUUAG
This 233-nucleotide long non-coding RNA is filed under the name Mus spicilegus (steppe mouse). RNAcentral describes it as "lncRNA (ENSMSIG00000003708.1)". Lineage: Eukaryota; Metazoa; Chordata; Mammalia; Rodentia; Muridae. The record is from RNAcentral.